RNAcentral lists this unclassified non-coding RNA (19 nucleotides) under Mus musculus (house mouse). RNAcentral's name for it is "oocyte_clustered_small_RNA14069". Lineage: Eukaryota; Metazoa; Chordata; Mammalia; Rodentia; Muridae. The record is from RNAcentral.
GUCCUGACUUCCUCCAAGG